This 1374-nucleotide ribosomal RNA is filed under the name uncultured bacterium. RNAcentral's name for it is "bacterial SSU rRNA". It matches the Rfam family "Bacterial small subunit ribosomal RNA", at positions 29 to 1393 of the family's 1533-position model. The record is from RNAcentral.
UUGAACGCUGGCGGUAUGCUUAACACAUGCAAGUCGAACGGAAACGAUACUAGCUUGCUAGUAGGCGUCGAGUGGCGGACGGGUGAGUAACGCGUAGGAAUCUGCCUGAUAGUGGGGGAUAGCCCGAAGAAAUUCGGAUUAAUACCGCAUAAUCUAUUCGUAGUAAAGUGGGGGACUUUCGAGCCUCACGCUAUCAGAUGAGCCUGCGUAAGAUUAGCUUGUUGGUAGGGUAAAAGCCUACCAAGGCGACGAUCUUUAGCUGGUCUGAGAGGAUGAUCAGCCACAUCGGGACUGAGACACGGCCCGAACUCCUACGGGAGGCAGCAGUGGGGAAUAUUGGACAAUGGGGGCAACCCUGAUCCAGCAAUACCGCGUGUGUGAAGAAGGCCUGAGGGUUGUAAAGCACUUUCAAUUGUGAAGAAAAGUUAGCGGUUAAUAACCGUUAGCCUUGACGUUAACUUUAGAAGAAGCACCGGCUAACUCCGUGCCAGCAGCCGCGGUAAUACGGAGGGUGCAAGCGUUAAUCGGAAUUACUGGGCGUAAAGCGUGCGUAGGCGGUUUAUUAAGUCAGAUGUGAAAGCCCCGGGCUUAACCUGGGAACUGCAUUUGAAACUGGUCAACUAGAGUAUGGUAGAGGAAAGUGGAAUUUCUGGUGUAGCGGUGAAAUGCGUAGAUAUCAGAAAGGAACAUCAAUGGCGAAGGCAGCUUUCUGGACCAAUACUGACGCUGAGGUACGAAAGCGUGGGUAGCAAACAGGAUUAGAUACCCUGGUAGUCCACGCCGUAAACGAUGAUAACUAGCCGUUGGGGGGAUUUACCCUUUAGUGGCGAAGCUAACGCGUUAAGUUAUCCGCCUGGGGAGUACGGCCGCAAGGUUAAAACUCAAAGGAAUUGACGGGGACCCGCACAAGCGGUGGAGCAUGUGGUUUAAUUCGAUGCAACGCGAAGAACCUUACCUGGUCUUGACAUCCUGCGAACUUUCUAGAAAUAGAUUGGUGCCUUCGGGAACGCAGUGACAGGUGCUGCAUGGCUGUCGUCAGCUCGUGUCGUGAGAUGUUGGGUUAAGUCCCGUAACGAGCGCAACCCCUAUCCUUAUUUGCCAGCACAUCAUGGUGGGAACUAUAAGGAGACUGCCGGUGAUAAACCGGAGGAAGGCGGGGACGACGUCAAGUCAUCAUGGCCCUUACGACCAGGGCUACACACGUGCUACAAUGGGAAGGACAAAGAGCCGCGAAGCCGCGAGGUGUAGCUAAUCUCAUAAACCUUUUCGUAGUCCGGAUUGGAGUCUGCAACUCGACUCCAUGAAGUCGGAAUCGCUAGUAAUCGUAGAUCAGAAUGCUACGGUGAAUACGUUCCCGGGUCUUGUACACACCGC